UUUCCGUAGGUGAACCUGCGGAAGGAUCAUUAACGAGUUAGGGUCUUCCAGGCCCGACCUCCCAACCCUAUGUUUAUUGAACCUCUGUUGCUUCGGCGGGCCCGUCUCACGGCCGCCGGGGGAGUCGCCGCGAGGCACCCUCUGGCCAGCGUCCGCCGAUGGCCAACCUCAAAACUCUGAAUGAAUCGUGUCAUGAUGUCUAAGUCUAUGAUUAAAUUAAAGCAAAACUUUUAACAACGGAUCUCUUGGUUCUG
This 254-nucleotide unclassified non-coding RNA is filed under the name plant metagenome. RNAcentral's name for it is "partial contains small subunit ribosomal RNA, internal transcribed spacer 1, and 5.8S ribosomal RNA". The record is from RNAcentral.